Molecule: long non-coding RNA, 492 nt
Organism: Triplophysa dalaica
Lineage: Eukaryota; Metazoa; Chordata; Actinopteri; Cypriniformes; Nemacheilidae
Exons: 2
Source: RefSeq, a predicted model, not a curated record
UCACAAGGAUUCAAGACACCUGCAGCAAAAUUAGUCAGCAUGGAGGACUAACGCGUGUUGGGUGCUUCCGCAUGGAACAGCUAAGAUACCCCACUUAACCAUCCUCGGCCAUAUCUGAAGGGGCUUUUUGCCGUGAAGGCGAAGAAGGGAAAUUAUCAGUAUGCCGGCUUAGAGCAGUUGAAAUGUCGACGUUCAAGAUUUCUUCCUCUUAUUUGAAAAAAAGGGAUGCACCGAAAGGAAAAUUCUUGGCGAAACCGAAAACUGAAAAAGAGGAAACCAAGGCCGAAAACCGAAACACCGAAAGAAAUUUGGCCAAUUAUUAGUACCCUUGCAUUUAUGGCUAUGACUGUGUACUAACUUUACUAAAAUCAAGGCAUUGCAAUUGCAUAAAUAUUAAAGUUUCAAAGAAUAAAUCAAUUACAAAUUAUGCAAAUAUUUAUGUAGCACAUUGCAACAAUGAACAGUAUAAAAUAAAAUUCAACUAAGAUGUUU